CCUGUGACUUCUGGGCACCUAACGCUACCGCGGGGCCUAGGGGAGGCGUUUGUGACUAGAGGCUUAAGUCUGGGGACCCCGCGCAGAGGCCUCCGGACUGCGGCAUUUCACUGCCACCCGCUUCCUCCUCCCUCGCGCGUCUGCGAGUCCAGCUCCAGCCCCGAUCACCCCCCUCCCCGCGAGCAGCUCUGCCUCCGAGGUAGCUCGGCCCACGCGUGGCGCCCGCUGUCGCCCUGGGGAUGAGGCUGGAGGCUCCCGGCCUUAGCGCUUCAAGCGCCAGAGCAGCUCGGCCGCAGCUGCCGAGCCAGAGAUUUUGAAGAGCACAAGCGGCGGCUCCAAUGAAACCGGCUUGGGUUGAGCUCUUCUGUCGGGCUGUUUGCAAACCUAAUCCUGGCAGGGCCAGGGCUAGGACUCAUGUGUCACUGCUCCCCGUUCAGUGAGGAAAUCUUUCAGUGGCUAUGGAGGUCGUCCUCGUAUUUAGAAACAGAGCUGCGACCUCGUCUCCUGGAGUCUGAGGAUCCUCUGUCUCCUUCUCGCUGGCUUUCUAUCAGCUCAGAUCUGAAGCAAGAAUAUCAAAACAUACACCCUAAAAAGAGAGUAAUUUCAGUAUCAGUUUGUUACAUACAACACUGAAACAAAACAAAGCAGUACUAUAUUGCAGGCAAUUGUGCAGAGCCAAGUUUAACUUGAAGAUAUAAAAAUUCUACAUUUGGAAAAAAA
Gavialis gangeticus (Gharial) is the source of this 720-nucleotide long non-coding RNA. RefSeq lists it as uncharacterized. The record is from RefSeq and is a predicted model, not a curated record. NCBI's taxonomy places the organism in Eukaryota, Metazoa, Chordata, Crocodylia, Gavialidae. The transcript is spliced from 3 exons.